RNAcentral lists this ribosomal RNA (469 nucleotides) under Abiotrophia defectiva. Its description in RNAcentral is "bacterial SSU rRNA". It matches the Rfam family "Bacterial small subunit ribosomal RNA", at positions 28 to 474 of the family's 1533-position model. Lineage: Bacteria; Bacillati; Bacillota; Bacilli; Lactobacillales; Aerococcaceae. The record is from RNAcentral.
GACGAACGCUGGCGGCGUGCCUAAUACAUGCAAGUCGAACGAACCGCGACUAGGUGCUUGCACUUGGUCAAGGUGAGUGGCGAACGGGUGAGUAACACGUGGGUAACCUACCUCAUAGUGGGGGAUAACAGUCGGAAACGACUGCUAAUACCGCAUAGGACAUGGAAUCACAUGAUUCCGUGAGGAAAGGUGGCGCAAGCUAUCGCUAAGAGAUGGACCCGCGGUGCAUUAGCUAGUUGGUAGGGUAAAGGCCUACCAAGGCGAUGAUGCAUAGCCGACCUGAGAGGGUGAUCGGCCACAUUGGGACUGAGACACGGCCCAAACUCCUACGGGAGGCAGCAGUAGGGAAUCUUCCGCAAUGGACGCAAGUCUGACGGAGCAACGCCGCGUGAGUGAAGAAGGUCUUCGGAUCGUAAAGCUCUGUUGUUAGAGAAGAACAGCGCAUAGAGUAACUGUUAUGCGUGUGACG